AUAUUGAAUACCCUGGGUUGUCUACUUUAAAAAAAAAAAAUAUGUACAUGUGGGGUGUUAUUCAGAGAUUUAUGACAUUUAAUAGUGUUACAAUGUCACUAUUGAUAAAUUUUAAAAAUUUAUGUUUUGAAACCGCAAUAUCCUACUUGUACCUAUAGCCCUAUAACUUGCAACAAAAAAAAGCAGAAAAGCACAUAAACACUGGGUAUUUUUAAACUCAGGACAAAAUUUUGAAUCUAUUUAGCAGUUUUUUUCAUUCGCUUUUGUAGAUGAGUGAAGGAAUUGAAACAGUUAAUCUGUUAGUAUUGUAAGUUGAAUUAUUUUGUAAAUGUAGUAGCAAGCUCUUUUCAGAACUGCUUGCAAAACAUAACUGAAAGGAAGUCACAAGCUAUGACAGUUUCUAUGUAUCAGGAGACGCCUAACCACAAUGUACAUGUGUUAUUUUGUAAGAUUAGAUUAUUGAAUGAAACAGCAGAAACUACUUCCUCUUUUAUGUAUCUUGUGUAACUUCCUGUAACCAAUAUUCGUGACAAAUAUUGUAUAAGUACAGAGCAUUGUGAAUACAUUGUCAGAAGACUUUUG
Molecule: non-coding RNA, 582 nt
Organism: Pelobates cultripes (western spadefoot toad)
Lineage: Eukaryota; Metazoa; Chordata; Amphibia; Anura; Pelobatidae
Source: the annotation of a GenBank genome assembly